UGGAUGAUGUGGUUAAUCGAUGCAACGCGAAAACCUUACCACCUUUGACAUGUACGGAAUCCUUUAGAGAUAGAGAGUGCUCGAAAGAGAGCCGUAACACAGGUGCUGCAUGGCUGUCGUCAGCUCGUGUCGUGAGAUGUUGGGUUAAGUCCCGCAACGAGCGCAACCCUUGUCAUUAGUUGCUACAUUCAGUUGGGCACUCUAAUGAGACUGCCGGUGACAAACCGGGAGGAAGUGGGGAUGACGUCAAGUCCUCAUGGCCCUUAUAGGUGGGGCUACACACGUCAUACAAUGGAUGGUACAAAGGGUCGCCAACCCGCGAGGGGGAGCCAAUCCCAUAAAGCCAUUCGUAGUCCGGAUCGCAGUCUGCAACUCGACUGCGUGAAGUCGGAAUCGCUAGUAAUCGUGGAUCAGAAUGUCACGGUGAAUACGUUCCCGGGUCUU
This 444-nucleotide ribosomal RNA is filed under the name uncultured Acidovorax sp. RNAcentral describes it as "bacterial SSU rRNA". It matches the Rfam family "Bacterial small subunit ribosomal RNA", at positions 933 to 1382 of the family's 1533-position model. The record is from RNAcentral. Lineage: Bacteria; Pseudomonadati; Pseudomonadota; Betaproteobacteria; Burkholderiales; Comamonadaceae.